Molecule: long non-coding RNA, 226 nt
Filed under: Papio anubis (olive baboon)
Lineage: Eukaryota; Metazoa; Chordata; Mammalia; Primates; Cercopithecidae
Description: lncRNA (ENSPANG00000039591.1)
Source: RNAcentral
UUUUUAAUCACUGAAUGGUUUCUUUAGUAGAUACAUUUAUAAAUAAAUAAGUGAACAAACAACAAAAGGCACAUGUGAAAGAUGGAUUAGCAUACAUGAAUAUACAGCUUCCAUAAGAAAUGGAAAUGACAAUCAUGUGAGAGGAACAAGUGGAGAAAGCCUUUUUUCUUUGACUGGCAGAUGGGAUUCUUAAAAUGGUCCUGAUAAUGUACAUAUCCCUGGGAGA